CUCCAGUCUGAGCACGUCGCUGUUGGGAAGAAGUAUGGGAUGGGAGCCGCGUGUUUGACCAAAUGUCUCCCAAACUACUUUUCAUGGUACAACAGGAGCGACUUGAAGGAUUCGGCACAAACACCGUAGCUGCAGCCCAAACGGCUAAGGAGCAUGUGUGUGAAGGUUUUGCGGGAGGAGUUUGGGGACGCUAUCCUGCCGGAAUCUUGUUCUCUGACUCUGGCUUCUCAGCAUCGGGGAGGAGGAUGGAAGCAAUUACCAGCGGCAGCAGCUGAGAGAGCGCCAGACCUCUGCACAUCAAUCAGUGUUACUCAUCCGCCUCUGCCCGAGUGCGCGCGCUGAAGAGCGUGUUAAAGAGCACACCCUUGUGGUGACAUCCCUCAUCGCAGCCAGCCAAGUCUGAAUGCCAUCACAGCCACAAUCCUGCUGCCAGCUCUUUAAACUGGAGGCCCCUCUUUUCUUUCCCCUGCCUUUCUAUAUUAAUCUUCACCACCUAAUUGCUACUUUUAUUAGCAGUGCAGAAUAAAGAAAAAAAAACCCUGUCCUGA
Xiphophorus hellerii (green swordtail) is the source of this 548-nucleotide long non-coding RNA. RefSeq lists it as uncharacterized. The record is from RefSeq and is a predicted model, not a curated record. Lineage: Eukaryota; Metazoa; Chordata; Actinopteri; Cyprinodontiformes; Poeciliidae. The transcript is spliced from 2 exons.